RNAcentral lists this ribosomal RNA (377 nucleotides) under uncultured bacterium. RNAcentral describes it as "bacterial SSU rRNA". It matches the Rfam family "Bacterial small subunit ribosomal RNA", at positions 521 to 896 of the family's 1533-position model. The record is from RNAcentral.
UAAUACGUAGGGGGCGAGCGUUGUCCGGAAUCAUUGGGCGUAAAGAGCGUGUAGGCGGACUGGAAGGUCUGGUGUGAAAGCCCGGGGCUCAACCCCGGAGGGUCACCGGAAACCGACAGUCUUGAAUCUGGAAGAGGAGAGUGGAAUUCCUGGUGUAGCGGUGGAAUGCGCAGAUAUCAGGAGGAACACCAAUGGCGAAGGCAGCUCUCUGGUACAUGAUUGACGCUGAGACGCGAAAGCGUGGGGAGCGAACAGGAUUAGAUACCCUGGUAGUCCACGCCGUAAACGAUGGGUGCUAGGUGUGGGAGGUGUCGACUCCUUCCGUGCCGAAGCUAACGCAUUAAGCACCCCGCCUGGGGAGUACGGCCGCAAGGCUA